UGUCCAUCACGUUGUGCGAUUGUGUAACAGCUCAGCCAAUCAGAAUGCAGCUGUAAGCUUUAAGUCCCGCCUCUGGUAUCCGCGGUAUGUAAUUGGCUGCAUGCUUUUGUAACAGUUCGGGUUUGGUAACAGUGAUACUGGAGGGCGCAGAAAGCGUCGUUAACCUGCAACGGACGAGGUUAUCUCACGAACAGUCGAACAGGAAACAAACAUGGUCUGACUGAUAAUAAAAGCUAGCAUCUACGUGGUGAGGAGGAUCCGGGCUUCCAUUGCUGCCGGGGAGCAUCUGGAGAAGCCCAUCAUCACACCAUGUAGUGCUAUUGCUGAAAUGAGGGCAGGACAUGACUCUAGAGGAAACGUCUCUGCGGCCGCACUGAGCCCAGGACCCGAUGGAGGUGUUGGUGGAGCAGCAGGCUCAGGGACGUCC
This 427-nucleotide long non-coding RNA is filed under the name Cottoperca gobio. RNAcentral describes it as "lncRNA (ENSCGOG00000019375.1)". Lineage: Eukaryota; Metazoa; Chordata; Actinopteri; Perciformes; Bovichtidae. The record is from RNAcentral.